RNAcentral lists this ribosomal RNA (497 nucleotides) under uncultured bacterium. RNAcentral describes it as "partial 16S ribosomal RNA". It matches the Rfam family "Bacterial small subunit ribosomal RNA", at positions 28 to 507 of the family's 1533-position model. The record is from RNAcentral.
GACGAACGCUGGCCGCGUGCCUAAUACAUGCAAGUUGAGCGCUGAAGGUUGGUACUUGUACCGACUGGAUGAGCAGCGCACGGGUGAGUAACGCGUGGGGAAUCUGCCUUUGAGCGGGGGACAACAUUUGGAAACGAAUGCUAAUACCGCAUAAAAACUUUAAACACAAGUUUUAAGUUUGAAAGAUGCAAUUGCAUCACUCAAAGAUGAUCCCGCGUUGUAUUAGCUAGUUGGUGAGGUAAAGGCUCACCAAGGCGAUGAUACAUAGCCGACCUGAGCGGGUGAUCGGCCACAUUGGGACGGAGACACGGCCCAAACGCCUACGGGAGGCAGCAGUAGGGAAUCUUCGGCAAUGGACGAAAGUCUGACCGAGCAACGCCGCGUGAGGGAAGAAGGGUUUCGGAUCGUAAAACUCUGUUGGUAGAGAAGAACGUUGGUGAGAGUGGAAAGCUCAUCAAGUGACGGUAACUACCCAGAAAGGGACGGCUAACUACGUG